GAGGUUGUGGUGUAACGGCAGCACAGCAGACUUUUAAUCUGCACGGCGUAGGUUCGAAUCCUACCAGCCUCA
This 72-nucleotide transfer RNA is filed under the name Blastopirellula sediminis. RNAcentral describes it as "tRNA-Lys". It matches the Rfam family "tRNA". Rfam says of the family: Transfer RNA (tRNA) molecules are approximately 80 nucleotides in length. Their secondary structure includes four short double-helical elements and three loops (D, anti-codon, and T loops). Further hydrogen bonds mediate the characteristic L-shaped molecular structure. tRNAs have two regions of fundamental functional importance: the anti-codon, which is responsible for specific mRNA codon recognition, and the 3' end, to which the tRNAs corresponding amino acid is attached (by aminoacyl-tRNA synthetases). tRNAs cope with the degeneracy of the genetic code in two manners: having more than one tRNA (with a specific anti-codon) for a particular amino acid; and 'wobble' base-pairing, i.e. permitting non-standard base-pairing at the 3rd anti-codon position. The record is from RNAcentral. Lineage: Bacteria; Pseudomonadati; Planctomycetota; Planctomycetia; Pirellulales; Pirellulaceae.